AUUGAACGCUGGCGGCAGGCCUAACAUAUGCAAGUCGAGCGGAGCGGCGGACGGGUGAGUAAUGCCUAGGAAUCUGCCUGGUAGUGGGGGAUAACGUCCGGAACGGGUCGCUAAUACGGCAUACUAUCAGAUGACCCUAGGUCGGAUUAGCUAGUUGGUGGGGUAAAGGCCUACCAAGGCGACGAUCCGUAACUGGUCUGAGAGGAUGAUCAGUCACACUGGAACUGAGACACGGUCCAGACUCCUACGGGAGGCAGCAGUGGGGAAUAUUGGACAAUGGGCGAAAGCCUGAUCCAGCCAUGCCGCGUGUGUGAAGAAGGUCUUCGGAUUGUAAAGCACUUUAAGUUGGGAGGCGUUACCAACAGAAUAAGCACCGGCUAACUUCGUGCCAGCAGCCGCGGUAAUUC
Molecule: ribosomal RNA, 407 nt
Filed under: uncultured bacterium
Lineage: Bacteria
Description: partial 16S ribosomal RNA
Rfam family: Bacterial small subunit ribosomal RNA
Source: RNAcentral